RNAcentral lists this long non-coding RNA (181 nucleotides) under Microcebus murinus (gray mouse lemur). Its description in RNAcentral is "lncRNA (ENSMICG00000048600.1)". Lineage: Eukaryota; Metazoa; Chordata; Mammalia; Primates; Cheirogaleidae. The record is from RNAcentral.
UGUUAAGACAGAAUUCAUGGUACAAGCUUACAUGGCAAGAGGUAAAUGUGGGCGAUAUUGUGAAGGCCUGCAACAGGGAGUUCCUUCCUGCAGACUUAGUCCUGAUUUCUUCCAGUGAACCUCAGUCUAUGUGUUAUAUAGCAACAGCUAAUCUGGAUGGAGAGACAAAUCUAAAGAUACG